Molecule: long non-coding RNA, 194 nt
Organism: Cercocebus atys (sooty mangabey)
Lineage: Eukaryota; Metazoa; Chordata; Mammalia; Primates; Cercopithecidae
Exons: 3
Source: RefSeq, a predicted model, not a curated record
UAUGCUGGCUGGGAUGACUGAUCCUGAUUACCAAGGUGAAAUUGGACUACUACACCACAGUGGAGGUCAAAAUACAACUAUACCAUCAGCAAUCCUGAAUCUCCAGCUUGCUGAAGGUAAAUCUUAGGACUUUUCAGCUUUCAUAACCAGAACCCAGACUAAUAAAAGAACCAAAUCUAUGUCCAAGGCACGGC